This 286-nucleotide transfer-messenger RNA is filed under the name candidate division WS1 bacterium. RNAcentral's name for it is "partial transfer-messenger RNA". It matches the Rfam family "transfer-messenger RNA", at positions 63 to 374 of the family's 374-position model. Rfam says of the family: Bacterial tmRNA, also known as 10Sa RNA or SsrA, is named for its dual tRNA and mRNA-like properties. Its role is to liberate the mRNA from a stalled ribosome. The record is from RNAcentral. Lineage: Bacteria; Bacillati.
AUCUCGUAAAACGCGGGAAAACCACAAACGCCAACAACAACUUGGCACUGGCUGCAUAAGUAGCCCCUCCGUCCCGCCUCGCCGGUCGGGCGGGAGCCGGGGGUAAUCAGAUCGGCUAGUCCCUCGCCGUUGCCUGGGCGAACGGGGGGCGAAACUCAAGUCAGGCUAGCUCCCGGCCGUCGCGCGCCGCGACAAAGCAGGGAGCGAAAUCUAACCCGGCGCUACACCCGUAGACGCUUCAAUCGCACCUCUUCGGACGCGGGUUCGAUUCCCGCCACCUCCACCA